RNAcentral lists this ribosomal RNA (503 nucleotides) under uncultured bacterium. Its description in RNAcentral is "partial 16S ribosomal RNA". It matches the Rfam family "Bacterial small subunit ribosomal RNA", at positions 29 to 523 of the family's 1533-position model. The record is from RNAcentral.
AUUGAACGCUGGCGGCAGGCCUAACACAUGCAAGUCGAGCGGAAACGAAGGGAGCUUGCUCCCAGGCGUCGAGCGGCGGACGGGUGAGUAACACGUGAGAAUCUGCCCAUUAGUGGGGGACAACUCGGGGAAACACGAGCUAAUACCGCAUAAUCCCUACGGGGAAAGCAGGGGACGUUUUGGCCUUGUGGAGGUGGAUGAGCUCACGUCGGAUUAGCUUGUUGGUGAGGUAAAGGCUCACCAAGGCGACGAGCCGUAGCUGGUCUGAGAGGAUGAUCAGCCACACUGGGACUGAGACACGGCCCAGACUCCUACGGGAGGCAGCAGUGGGGAAUCUUGGACAAUGGGGGCAACCCUGAUCCAGCCAUGCCGCGUGUGUGAAGAAGGCCUUCGGGUUGUAAAGCACUUUCAGCAGGGAGGAAGGCUUUGGCCGAAUAGGUUGAAGUACUUGACGUUACCUGCAGAAGAAGCACCGGCUAAUUUCGUGCCAGCCGCCGCUGUAA